This 459-nucleotide ribosomal RNA is filed under the name uncultured bacterium. Its description in RNAcentral is "partial 16S ribosomal RNA". It matches the Rfam family "Bacterial small subunit ribosomal RNA", at positions 338 to 795 of the family's 1533-position model. The record is from RNAcentral.
CCUACGGGGGGCAGCAGUGAGGAAUAUUGGUCAAUGGGCGGGAGCCUGAACCAGCCAAGCCGCGUGAGGGAAGAAGGUACAGCGUAUCGUAAACCUCUUUUGUCAGGGAACAAAGGCGGGGACGUGUCCCCGGAUGAGUGUACCUGAAGAAAAAGCAUCGGCUAACUCCGUGCCAGCAGCCGCGGUAAUACGGAGGAUGCGAGCGUUAUCCGGAUUUAUUGGGUUUAAGGGGUGCGCAGGCGGUCUGUUAAGUCAGCGGUCAAAGCCCGGGGCUCAACCCCGGCCCGCCGUUGAAACUGGCAGUCUCGAGUUGGAGAGAAGUAUGCGGAAUGCGCGGUGUAGCGGUGAAAUGCAUAGAUAUCGCGCAGAACUCCGAUUGCGAAUGCAGCAUGCCGGCUCCACACUGACGCUGAGGCACGAAAGCGUGGGUAUCGAACAGGAUUAGAUACCCCUGUAGUC